RNAcentral lists this ribosomal RNA (409 nucleotides) under uncultured bacterium. RNAcentral describes it as "bacterial SSU rRNA". It matches the Rfam family "Bacterial small subunit ribosomal RNA", at positions 364 to 770 of the family's 1533-position model. The record is from RNAcentral.
UUGGACAAUGGAGGCAACUCUGAUCCAGCCAUGCCGCGUGAAGGCAUAAGGCCCUAUGGGUUGUAAACUUCUUUUAGACGGGACAAAACCCCUUUACGUGUAAAGGGUUGAUGGUACUGUCAGAAUAAGCAUCGGCUAACUUCGUGCCAACAGCCGCGGUAAUACGAAGGAUGCAAGCGUUAUCCGGAAUUAUUGGGUUUAAAGGGUGCGUAGGCGGACUAAUAAGUCAGUGGUGAAAGCCUGCAGCUUAACUGCAGAAUUGCCAUUGAUACUGUUAGUCUUGAGUACAGUUGAGGUCGGCGGAAUGGGUCAUGUAGCGGUGAAAUGCUUAGAUAUGACACAGAACACCGAUUGCGAAGGCAGCUUGCUAAGCUGUAACUGACGCUGAGGCACGAAAGCGUGGGGAGCA